ACGGCUCAGUAACACGUAGUCAACAUGCCCAGGGGACGUGGAUAACCUCGGGAAACUGAGGAUAAACCGCGAUAGGUCAUAGUAUCUGGAAUGAUUUAUGGCUCAAAUCUAUAUGGCCUCUGGAUUGGACUGCGGCCGAUCAGGCUGUUGGUGAGGUAAUGGCCCACCAAACCUAAAACCGGUACGGGCUCUGAGAGGAGAAGCCCGGAGAUGGGCACUGAGACAAGGGCCCAGGCCCUAUGGGGCGCAGCAGGCGCGAAAACUCUGCAAUAAGCGAAAGCUUGACAGGGUUAUUCUGAGUGAUUUCCGCUAAGGAAAUCUUUUGGCACCUCUAAAAUGGUGCAGAAUAAGGGGUGGGCAAGCCUGGUGUCAGCCGCCGCGGUAAUACCAGCACCCCGAGUGGUCGGGACGAUUAUUGGGCCUAAAGCAUCCGUAGCCGGUUCUACAAGUCUUCCGUUAAAUCCACCUGCUCAACAGAUGGGCUGCGGAGGAUACUAUAGAGCUAGGAGACGGGAGAGGCAAGCGGUACUUAGUGGGUAGGGGUAAAAUCCGUUGAUCCAUUGAAGACCACCAGUGGCGAAGGCGGCUUGCCAGAACGCACUCGACGGUGAGGGAUGAAAGCUGGGGGAGCAAACCGGAUUAGAUACCCGGGUAGUCCCAGCUGUAAACGAUGCAGACUCGGUGAUGAAUAGGCUUCGUGCCUAUUCAGUGCCGCAGGGAAGCCGUUAAGUCUGCCGCCUGGGGAGUACGGUCGCAAGACUGAAACUUAAAGGAAUUGGCGGGGGAGCA
This 789-nucleotide ribosomal RNA is filed under the name uncultured archaeon. RNAcentral's name for it is "bacterial SSU rRNA". It matches the Rfam family "Archaeal small subunit ribosomal RNA", at positions 85 to 878 of the family's 1478-position model. The record is from RNAcentral.